AGAGUUUGAUCAUGGCUCAGGACGAACGCUGGCGGCGUGCUUAACACAUGCAAGUCGAACGAUGAACCGGGUGCUUGCACCUGGGGAUUAGUGGCGAACGGGUGAGUAACACGUGAGUAACCUGCCCUGGACUCUGGGAUAACCCCGAGAAAUCGGAGCUUAAUACCGGAUAGGAC
RNAcentral lists this ribosomal RNA (176 nucleotides) under Agromyces sp. MK-2005. Its description in RNAcentral is "partial 16S ribosomal RNA". It matches the Rfam family "Bacterial small subunit ribosomal RNA", at positions 8 to 179 of the family's 1533-position model. The record is from RNAcentral. Lineage: Bacteria; Bacillati; Actinomycetota; Actinomycetes; Micrococcales; Microbacteriaceae.